GCGUGCUAUACAUGCAGUCGAGCGAACAGAUGAGAAGCUUGCUUCUCUGAUGUUAGCGGCGGACGGGUGAGUAACACGUGGGUAACCUACCUAUAAGACUGGGAUAACUCCGGGAAACCGGGGCUAAUACCGGAUAAUAUUUUGAACCGCAUGGUUCAAUAGUGAAAGACGGUUUCGGCUGUCACUUAUAGAUGGACCCGCGCCGUAUUAGCUAGUUGGUAAGGUAACGGCUUACCAAGGCGACGAUACGUAGCCGACCUGAGAGGGUGAUCGGCCACACUGGAACUGAGACACGGUCCAGACUCCUACGGGAGGCAGCAGUAGGGAAUCUUCCGCAAUGGGCGAAAGCCUGACGGAGCAACGCCGCGUGAGUGAUGAAGGUCUUCGGAUCGUAAAACUCUGUUGUUAGGGAAGAACAAAUUUGUUAGUAACUGAACAAGUCUUGACGGUACCUAACCAGAAAGCCACGGCUAACUACGUGCCAGCAGCCGCGGUAAUACGUAGGUGGCAAGCGUUAUCCGGAAUUAUUGGGCGUAAAGCGCGCGUAGGCGGUUUCUUAAGUCUGAUGUGAAAGCCCACGGCUCAACCGUGGAGGGUCAUUGGAAACUGGGAAACUUGAGUGCAGAAGAGGAGAGUGGAAUUCCAUGUGUAGCGGUGAAAUGCGCAGAGAUAUGGAGGAACACCAGUGGCGAAGGCGGCUCUCUGGUCUGUAACUGACGCUGAUGUGCGAAAGCGUGGGGAUCAAACAGGAUUAGAUACCCUGGUAGUCCACGCCGUAAACGAUGAGUGCUAAGUGUUAGGGGGUUUCCGCCCCUUAGUGCUGCAGCUAACGCAUUAAGCACUCCGCCUGGGGAGUACGACCGCAAGGUUGAAACUCAAAGGAAUUGACGGGGACCCGCACAAGCGGUGGAGCAUGUGGUUUAAUUCGAAGCAACGCGAAGAACCUUACCAAAUCUUGACAUCCUUUGACCGCUCUAGAGAUAGAGUCUUCCCCUUCGGGGGACAAAGUGACAGGUGGUGCAUGGUUGUCGUCAGCUCGUGUCGUGAGAUGUUGGGUUAAGUCCCGCAACGAGCGCAACCCUUAAGCUUAGUUGCCAUCAUUAAGUUGGGCACUCUAGGUUGACUGCCGGUGACAAACCGGAGGAAGGUGGGGAUGACGUCAAAUCAUCAUGCCCCUUAUGAUUUGGGCUACACACGUGCUACAAUGGAUAAUACAAAGGGCAGCGAAUCCGCGAGGCCAAGCAAAUCCCAUAAAAUUAUUCUCAGUUCGGAUUGUAGUCUGCAACUCGACUACAUGAAGCUGGAAUCGCUAGUAAUCGUAGAUCAGCAUGCUACGGUGAAUACGUUCCCGGGUCUUGUACACACCGCCCGUCACACCACGAGAGUUUGUAACACCCGAAGCCGGUGGAGUAACCUUUUAG
Molecule: ribosomal RNA, 1421 nt
Filed under: Mammaliicoccus sciuri
Lineage: Bacteria; Bacillati; Bacillota; Bacilli; Caryophanales; Staphylococcaceae
Description: bacterial SSU rRNA
Rfam family: Bacterial small subunit ribosomal RNA
Source: RNAcentral